GGAGGGGCGACGAGAACACACCUCGUUGCCUUUGUUUCAGGUAUGGGAAGAUCACGUUCGUGCUCAUCUUCAGUCAUCAAGCUCUGGAAAUCUACAGGUACGAUUUUUGGUAGCAUCAAGUUGAAAAGCCAUUGAUGGCUUCCAACCAGUGAUCAAAAGAUAGGCAUUCUCGAGUGGACUCCGCCAAAUUGGGGCGAAAAAUGCUAAAACAUCUUCAUUUGCUGCCGCCCAUUUUGCAGUGUAAUAAUCUUUAUAAUGUGCUGUGACUUUUUGCACUAAAUCCCCAUGAUCGGCUUCGGCUUUAUCAGAAGGCUAGCUAUUUUGGUACUAAACGAAGGAUUUGAAGAAACUGCUCAAGUUGACGCAUCCAUUUCUCCAAAACGACUGCAAACUUGUUCUCAACUCGAGUGUUCAUCUUGUAGUGAAAAUCUAGAGAGAAUUCUGCAGGUUGAAUAUGUGGACUUCGGUGUAUUAUAUGUGUCAUGUAUAUGUCGGCAGUCGGCUUGUCUGGAGAUGAAGUGUUCCCGAAGUGCGAGGCUUUUUUGUAUGGCUUAUUCGAUGCAUGGGAACGUGUCACUAAAAGGAAUUUGAGUUCAUCAGUACUCUGAGGUGCAUGCAUGUAAAAUUUGAUGAUGUAAUCGUAACUUUCUCAGAAUAAGAAGAGACGUGUUUCUUUUUUGGGAAUUGUUCUAUGUACGGAGCAAUUUCCUACAGAAUCCUUACCGACCCCUCACUGUAGGGGUCAGUCCCACAUGAAGAGGAAAAAAAAUUUGGGGCCCACACUGUGAGUAUCUGGCAGGGGUCUGUAAAGUGUGGGUUCUUCUUCUUCUUUUUAAUCAUCUGUAGCUGUCCAAUGAUAAACUUUUCAACCUUUUAUAUUUUGUAGUCUUGGAGUCUUCAAUAGGGCUAAAGCCCAUUGGACAACCCUAAUAGGGGUGUCACACAACCCGCUGAACAUCCAUGGAUUUUCACACAAGAAUAACCCCCUUCAAUAGUGAGGUGGUUGAUCCCAAUCAGUUUAAAUCUAUAAAUUUAGAUCCAAUGUAAUUAAAGUUGUCAAUAUAGACCUUAAAAAUCUGAUACUGUUUUCAGUUGAAUUUGAG
Molecule: long non-coding RNA, 1103 nt
Filed under: Olea europaea subsp. europaea
Lineage: Eukaryota; Viridiplantae; Streptophyta; Magnoliopsida; Lamiales; Oleaceae
Source: RNAcentral